GGUCUGGUGGCCCAAUUGGCAGGGCGUCUGACUUCGAUUGAUUUUCACACAAAAAAAUUGAAUUUUCGGGAAUUUAUCAGAAGAUUGCGGGUUCGAGUCCUGUCCGGAUCG
Molecule: transfer RNA, 111 nt
Filed under: Colletotrichum zoysiae
Lineage: Eukaryota; Fungi; Ascomycota; Sordariomycetes; Glomerellales; Glomerellaceae
Description: tRNA-Arg
Rfam family: tRNA
About the family: Transfer RNA (tRNA) molecules are approximately 80 nucleotides in length. Their secondary structure includes four short double-helical elements and three loops (D, anti-codon, and T loops).
Source: RNAcentral